AUUGAACGCUGGCGGCAGGCCUAGCACAUGCAAGUCGAACGGUAACAGGAAACAGCUUGCUGUUUCGCUGACGAGUGGCGGACGGGUGAGUAAUGUCUGGGAAACUGCCUGAUGGAGGGGGAUAACUACUGGAAACGGUAGCUAAUACCGCAUAACGUCGCAAGACCAAAGAGGGGGACCUUCGGGCCUCUUGCCAUCGGCUGUGCCCAGAUGGGAUUAGCUAGUAGGUGGGGUAACGGCUCACCUAGGCGACGAUCCCUAGCUGGUCUGAGAGGAUGACCAGCCACACUGGAACUGAGACACGGUCCAGACUCCUACGGGAGGCAGCAGUGGGGAAUAUUGCACAAUGGGCGCAAGCCUGAUGCAGCCAUGCCGCGUGUAUGAAGAAGGCCUUCGGGUUGUAAAGUACUUCCAGCGGGGAGGAAGGGAGUAAAGUUAAUACCUUUACUCAUUGACGUUACCCGCAGAAGAAGCACCGGCUAACUCCGUG
RNAcentral lists this ribosomal RNA (490 nucleotides) under uncultured bacterium. RNAcentral's name for it is "partial 16S ribosomal RNA". It matches the Rfam family "Bacterial small subunit ribosomal RNA", at positions 30 to 507 of the family's 1533-position model. The record is from RNAcentral.